Molecule: transfer RNA, 76 nt
Filed under: Sedimenticola sp.
Lineage: Bacteria; Pseudomonadati; Pseudomonadota; Gammaproteobacteria; Chromatiales; Sedimenticolaceae
Description: tRNA-His
Rfam family: tRNA
About the family: Transfer RNA (tRNA) molecules are approximately 80 nucleotides in length. Their secondary structure includes four short double-helical elements and three loops (D, anti-codon, and T loops).
Source: RNAcentral
GUGGGCGUAGCUCAGUUGGUAGAGCCCUGGAUUGUGAUUCCAGUUGUCGUGGGUUCGAGCCCCAUCGUCCACCCCA